RNAcentral lists this ribosomal RNA (468 nucleotides) under uncultured bacterium. RNAcentral's name for it is "partial 16S ribosomal RNA". It matches the Rfam family "Bacterial small subunit ribosomal RNA", at positions 28 to 507 of the family's 1533-position model. The record is from RNAcentral.
AACGAGCGCUGGCGGCGUGCUUAACACAUGCAAGUCGAACGGAAAGGCCCUGCUUUUGUGGGGUGCUCGAGUGGCGAACGGGGGAGUAACACGUGAGUAACCUGCCCUUGACUUUGGGGUAACUUCAGGAAACUGGGGCUAAUACCGGAUAGGAGAUCCUGCUCGAUGGUGGGGGGUGGAACUUUUCGGCUGGUGGGGUUGGACUCGCGGCUGAUCAACUUGUUUGUGGGGGAGUGGCUUGCCAAGGCUUUGACGGGUCAGCGACCGGAGAGGGUGGACGGCCACCUUGGGCCUGCGAUACGGCGCAGAGUCGUACGUGAGACAGUAGUGGCGAAUCUUGCACAAUGGGCGGAAGCCUGAUGAAGAAACGCUGCGUGCGGGAUGACGGUUUUCGGGUUGUAAACAGCUUCAGCUUGUGACGCAGCUGUAGUGACGGUAAUGAGUAAAGAAGCACCGGCUAACUACGUG